Molecule: long non-coding RNA, 1300 nt
Filed under: Zostera marina
Lineage: Eukaryota; Viridiplantae; Streptophyta; Magnoliopsida; Alismatales; Zosteraceae
Description: long non-coding RNA (ZMAR_LNC001468)
Source: RNAcentral
UUGCAUGAUGGUGGGAAAUUUUUGAACAAUUUCUUGCAAUUCGGCCCAUGGGUUAUUCUUCUCCUGACUAGUUAAUGGGUCCCCUUGGAGAUAACAAAAAUAAGCAACCUGCUCUCGGCCCACUGAAAUUCCAUGGUCAAGCUUUUGUAAUUACAUGUCACCGCCCCUAACUUCUCCAACAAUUGUAUGCCCAGCACAAUGUUGGCGCUUUUUAUGGACAACACAUACAGAUCUUCAUUAAUUGGUACCUCCUGUAUUAUCAAUGGUACUUGACGGCAUACUUUCCGGCAAAUCAAAUACUCGCCGCUACCAAUAAAAUCCGGAACUCUGGUAACGAUUGGAUCUUCCUCUGGUGAGUUUUAUUUACCUUUUAAUUUUAAAUUCUUUUCUGCAGACUUUCCUCUAAACCCCCAUCCCCAUUCCCAUUCUCCCAUCGGAAAUUAUUUCCGAUCUGGAAUCGCCCGGCCAAUAGUCCGACCGUCAUCGUCAAUCGGGCUAUUCCGGCCAGAAUCCUCUUCCGGACUGACUGAAUCUUCGGUCACUGUUUCCGCAUUUAUUUUUUAAUGACUACCUCGUAACAUUUUUGAAUGUCUAUCUUGUUUGGUUAUAAUAUAUGUUUAUGCAACAACUUAAUUCACUUUUAAGUGAAGUGUGUUUUCAAAGAUAUGUAUUUUCUGACUGUAUGUGUAUUUUAUAGAUAUGUUUCUUUUUGUAUACAAUCUCCUCUCUAGUUUUCUACGAAGUUUGAACCAGUAGGUUUGUUGAGUAUAUAAUCUGUUUUUACCUUUAUAACGGUACAGUUGCCAACGAUGCUAAUGAAGAUCCUAAAGUGCCUCAAUCAUCCUAUGGUGAUUCAGGAAAAACUCUUGUAAUUUAAAGCACCUCAAACCCGUCAAACAAAUCUCUAGUAUAUGCAUAGGAAAAAUUCAAAAGAUGUAUGAUGCAUUAUCUGAUAAUUUGAAAUCACACAAGAGUGUUGAUUUUUGUUUUAAAGAUAAAUCAUAACCCAAAUACAAAGCAUCUGGACAUUUCAAUGUAGAAACUGCCAACAUAGAAUUACCCAAUUCCAAAACAUCUAAACAUUUAAAUGUAGAAACUGCCAACAUGGAAUUACCCAUAUCCUAUUAUUUUAUGGUCAGGGAGAAGGCGUCGACGGCAAUGCACGUUCGUCCGAAGUCUGGAGAGCCGCUGCUGGAGCACGACGUCCGAUUUCGCCCUUAGGGUUUUCCGCCCAUUGAGAUUGGGGAAUAACCUGAAAUACCGGUCGAUAACGGGAAGAAGAGAGGAAAGAAAAGGAGGG